UACAGAGGGUGCAAGCGUUGUUCGGAAUUAUUGGGCGUAAAGGGAGUGUAGGCGGCUAUUUAAGUCUCAUGUGAAAGCUGCGGGCUUAGCCUGACAAAGUGCAUGGGAAACUGAAAAGCUUGAGUGUCGGAGAGGAUAGCGGAAUUCCCGGUGUAGAGGUGAAAUUCGUAGAGAUCGGGAGGAACACCAGUGGCGAAGGCGGCUAUCUGGCUGACAACUGACGCUGAGACUCGAAAGCAUGGGGAGCAAACAGG
Molecule: ribosomal RNA, 254 nt
Filed under: uncultured bacterium
Lineage: Bacteria
Description: partial 16S ribosomal RNA
Rfam family: Bacterial small subunit ribosomal RNA
Source: RNAcentral